RNAcentral lists this long non-coding RNA (7498 nucleotides) under Lactuca sativa (garden lettuce). RNAcentral's name for it is "long non-coding RNA (LSAT_LNC000656)". The record is from RNAcentral. Lineage: Eukaryota; Viridiplantae; Streptophyta; Magnoliopsida; Asterales; Asteraceae.
UGAAGUAAUAUCUCACAUUAUUGUUAUUUGUCUUUGUAAAAGGAUGUAUGUUCCUUUCUGUCCUUGUUAUUGUAUGUUUGAACUGACUCAUGUAUGAAUGGAUUCAUGUAUGAACAGACUCUUGUAAGUUUUAUUGUUCUAGAAAUAGUAAGUAGUAAUCCUCUAAACUAUACCUAUUAUAGUUUACUAGUAAUGUUGUUUGAAUGACUGAGUAUGUUUGUACACUUUUGCUACCCAAAGGUGUUGAACUAAUGUAAGAACUUUUAUAUCUAUACCCAUAUACAUAAUAUAUAACUAAGAUUCAAAUGACACUCGGACAAACAAUUGAUACCCUAAGUCCACAACCAAAAAGGAACAGGAAAUAAAGUGAAUUAUCAGUCCUAAGCCCUUUCAACCUCAUUUAUAUAACUAUAUCUAUAUAGACAUGAGUUUGACAAUAUAUAUAUAUAUAAGUUUAAAAGAGUUUGAUAAAAGAUUUUAGCAUAUAAAAGAGUUUUAACCAUUUGAAUGCUCAUAGAUGACUUGAUGUUAGUUUAUAAAUUGUUUUGAAAUAGUUUGUUUGAUAACACAAUUUGAAGUAUAAGAGAUCCACUUGUUUUGAUAGUUAUAAAUCACAUGUGAUUGAUAUAAUAACUAUAAUGUUUUCUACUUGUAUCCACCCCCCUGCAUAAAAGCAUUUAAAAUUAUUGAAAAGAUAAAUUAGGGUUAUGAACUCACUUGGUAAGUGGUCAAUCGGGCAACAUUUCGUUUCUAGGAAUGAUCUUCCUUGACGUAACCGCGGGUUUCUGGUGAAGAAACGAGCUUCAUGCGGGCAGCACUUCGACUAGAAAUGAGUUAGUUUUUCAGGAGAUUCGGGACGUCGGGACUUUCAUUUUGUGCUAGAGGUGUUACCAGGGCUUCAGGGUGGUUUAGAGGGGCUUAACAGUGUGUAGAAGUAGGAGAGAGGAUGGGUUUCAACAACCAAAGUCGGAAGGCCUCGAUUUCUAUAUAUAGGGUAAAUUUCAAAACUCACGUCGUGAGAUUUGCAUAACUCAUGUCGUGAGUUGCACCUUAUUUGCUCAUGGCUUGCGGCAUCCGUCUACUUGCUCUGGAAGGGUCAAUCACACUGUUCACGUCGUGAACACUGUACUCACGACGUGAACUCAGACACAUGCCGAAGUUUGUGCCCCGAACUUCAUAAAUUCAUAUCUCUCGCAUAUGAGUUCCAUUUUUGAGGUACUUUAUAUCCACGCGUAGGUGAGAUUAUUCUCUACAACUUUCAUUUAGACUCCAUCGGCUAAUUUUGGUUUUAUUUUUAAUAUUAUAUUUUUAACAUGUGGGGACUGGAAAAGUCCGUUAAAAAUCCAUAACUUCUUCAUCCGACGUCCAUUUUCGUCUGUCUUUUUACCAUUGCACUACUAUUGUCGAGAUCUUGGAUUCUCGUUUAGGUUGUGUGGGUUAAAAGUUGCUCGAUCUAUAUUUCAAGUUUUUUGUUGUCUACUACUAUAUCUGAAACUUAGAAAAAUCAUAACUUCCUCAUACGAAGUUAGAGUUGGACGUUCUUUUUAUAAACGUUCACGGUUUAAUGAUAUCUACAACUUUCAUUUAGAUACCUAAGGCUAAAAAGUAUUUUAUUGAAUUUUCACAUUUUCUGCUUAACAGUUUUUUAUCGGUGUUGUUGCGGAUCUUUGGUUGGUCAUAACUUCUUCGUUAUAACCGCAGUUUAGUGUUCUUUAUAUUUCUGAAAACCUUGUUACGAUAUCUAUCACUAAAUAGAUUUUUGAACAUUACAUUUUUGACGCUAUUCUUAUUAUUUCAAAAAUAGGUUACAAUACUUGACUUUAGAUAGUUACAUUGACUUGAAAAAUAUCGGGUUGUUACAUCAUCCCCCUGUUAGAGGGAAUUUCAUCCCGAAAUUUGAGUUUAAGAAAGUACAAUUAACUAAAUAAAAAGAUGAGGAUAAUUCAGUUUCAUUUGUUCCUUGUGCUCCCAUGUGAAUUUAAGUCCCCACUUGGCAUUCCAUCAAACCUCCACUAUCGGGAUAUGAGUUUUCUUCGUUUGCUUGACCUCUCGAUCCAUGAUCUCUACUGGUUCAUCCACGAAGUUGAGGCUCUCGUUUAUCAUGAUCUCGUCAAGUGGGAUUACAAGAGUCUUGUCGGACAUACACUUUUUCAAGUUUGAUACAUGGAAAGUAAGGUGUAUGUUACUAAGUUUGUGAGGUAGUUGGAGUUUGUAAGUUACAGGGCCGAUUCUAGCGAGACCUCGAAAGGACCUACAUAUCUUGGAUUUAGCUUUCCACACUUUCCGAAGCGUAUCAAGCCCUUCCAGGGUGAGACCUUCAAAAGAACUCUGUUACCAACCUAGAAUUUCAAAGGUUUCCUUCUCUCAUCUACAUAGCUUUUCUGCCUGACCCUGGGAGCUUCACGUCGUUCCUGGAUUUGUACUCUCUUCUUGGUAGUUUCUCAGAUGAAUUCCGAACCAGCGAAGGCGCUGUCUGGAAAUUGGACCUCUAGCUAGUUGUGUGUCGCUUACUUUAAUCCAGUGCUGAGCGGGUCUGAACUUGCGACCAAAGCGGGUUUUGAAUGGAUCAACUUUAAAUGCUAGCAUGGUCAGGGACUCGACUAGUUGAUAAGUGGUUAUCAUUGUUCUUCCAAAGUCUAUCACAUAUGCUCUCCUCACAACUUCUAACGAUUGAAUCGUUCUCUCAUUCUGUCUGUUGGUUUUAAGGAUGGUAGGCUAUGCAUCGUGGCUUGCUUAGUAUUCCAAAAAUUUCUGAUGUGACUUCCUGAACUGGGAGAUGAUUCUACUAUCUCCCACAGAGAUAUCAGAUAUUGGAACAUCGUGCAGUCUAACUAAUUUCUCAGGCACACACCCUAGUUUACUUCUAUAUUCUUCUUGAUUCCUUUUAAAUUGUAAGAAGGGUGCAGAUUUGGCUGAUCUGACGACGAUCAUCCAAAAUGAAAAUCAAGUCCGCCUGCUGCCUUGAUUAACUUGAUUAUGUAGCUCUUUGUAAUCUGCUAGAGCUUCCUCUCAGGUAUCUCUAGUGGUUUGUAGUGAGCCUAUGGGCUUUUUCUCUGAAGUUCAUGAUAAGACUCGUAUGUAGGUCAUCCACCAUCACCUCGUGUAUACAAGUCAUAUAUAAUUUAGAUUGACCAAACGUUCGGAUGCGUGGCUCUGCCCCAAGUCCACAACCAGACAAGGAACAUGAGAUAAUGCGGAAUCACACUUCCUAAAUCUUGUUAAGUCUAAAUUAGAUACCACUCUUACGUAUACACUUAGCAAUGAUUGAUUAACCUAAUGAGUUCUUAGUCUCUAUUCCUAAACUUGGCCUGAGACUUCUUUGGUGUUUUUCGCUUCAAGUUUAUUAACAAUGUGUGGGUUAGAAGAGCGUGGUACCCCACGCAUGGGUACUUCUGAAGUUCUAAUAUGAGAGAUGAUAUAAGGGUUUGCAUUAUGGAUCAGAAGAAUUUCAUCUAACGGUUGAUCAAGGGAAGGGUUCUUUUUACACAGAAUAGAAAUUUUGCCUGAUAAGGACCAAGCCAAAACAGGUCGGAUGAUGAUGUUGGUACUCCUUGAUGAAUCAAUUAUUAUGUUAAUUGGAAGCAUAAAUGAUUACGAGGACGAUGAACUAACCUUGGUAUGACUACUACAAACCCUUUUUUUUAAUCAGAAUUAAAAAAUACAACUAAAUGAGGGUCCUGAUAAUUUAAAACAAUGAACCUUCAUGAAAUGACCCCUACUAGGUCUCUUUACAACCGAUUGGUGUACACCAGCCAUGUAUAAUUAAUUAAUUAAUUGGGUUUGGAAGCAUACCAAAACUAUAACAUGUGUCUUUGAUGCUUCCCCAUAUUCUGGGGUCAAACUCCUCAUGCUCCCCCGCUAUUCUUCUCUAUUGGACAGUCCCUUUUGAAAUGUCCCAUUUUACCACAAAGGUGGGAUAUUGGACUGAUUUCAACGUUGGUGGUCGAAGUAAUGUGCCAGAUCGGGACUCUGCAGAAAUAGGUAGUGUGCUCGUUCCUGUUGCAGUUCUUGAAAUGAAUCUCUCGACAGGCUCCCGGGUGAUGGAAGCUACACUCAUUGCACUUGGGUAGAUUCCCAGCAUACUUCCUUGCUGAGGUAGGGGUAACCGGGAUACUAGUAGAAACGGCAGUAGGAGUAACAGAUGUCGUGGCCGUAGAGGCUGCCACUGGUUGUUGUCUCUUGGCUAACUUUUGAGGUGAUUUGCCCUUCUUAGCCCAGAACAUUCGUUUCUUGUUCUUCCUUUGGAGGUUCGGAGUGUCUUUGCGAGUAGGCACUCGUUGUUGUAUAUGGUUAUUACCUUGAUUGGGAUUGCCAAUAAUAAUUCGACUACCAUUUGCGCUGUUAGCAUUAAGGUGAGUUAUGACAGCUAUAGCAGCAGCUUGAAAAGUAGUCGUAUCCAUCUAAAGGAUUGGUGUUUUGCCAACCGGUUGGUUACGUUUCUUCGAAGACAUGAUUCUGUUACAUGAUAAGGAAAUGAGUUCAUGAGCAUUUAUGGUUGGUUCUAGAUGUAUUCUAAUCAUUUAUAUGAAUGUAACUUUUUCGUUUUGUUAUACUGUCCUUGAUGAUUCGAGCUACAUCCCUAUGAUGCAGUCCUGGUAAGGUGUAUAAGGAAGUUCCUAGAAUGGUCACAAGGUCGGUGGCAUUCAAAGUAAGUUAUCUUUGGUUGGAGAAUAUCAUGCUCCAACUUUUGAAACGAUUUGAAAGUAGCUCAUAAUAGAGUAUACAUAAUAUAGAGUUAUGAAUUUUUGAGAAAUAAUCACUCUCGAUUGAGAUUUCGUGAUCCGAUUUAUUGAUGUUUGUCAAUAUUACUAGUAUUUAAGAUGUAACAAGUUCAGGUAACAUGUCCUAUGAGUAGGUCUUACAUCACACCAGCAUUGAGAAAACUUUGACAGCACAAAGACCUAGCCGAUUGAAAGUUCAGGGUCUUGACAUAAGCAUGAAACUUGUACUAGAGUUUAUACAUAGACCUAAUUUAUAUAAAAGAGAGAGUAGAGUAAGCUCUACUCACGAGGGGAGUUGUUCUACUUGAUUCAGCUCUGGCUUCAGCCAGAUGUUGUUCUGUUUCCCAAACUCGUCUCUGUAGUGCCACAUGGUUCUGUCGAAGAUCCCUAACUUCAGAUUGAUAGACAUUCAACUCUACAUGUAGGACGUCAGUAAGAGACCUCUCGAAGUCCUGAUCAUCGGUUAGAUGAAGAAGACGUAUUUUGUUGACUCCGGAGUUAGCACGGAGUUCCAUGUCAUGGUCGAAGCUCGCUCUUCCCCACUCAACAUUGUGAGCAAUACGUCGAACCAUAAUAGGAAGGUCUUUAUCUGCUAAGCCUCACUCAUUCAAGUUAUAGAAACUUCAGUCUCCGUUGUAGGGAGGUGCCUUUCCCUGGUCGUGGUUCCACCUGUCUAAGUUCACCGCCCACAGAGGAAUCGGGCCUUGAAAAGCCGGACGAGGGUUAGGAUUUCGAGCUACUUGGGGUGGAUGAUAGAUUUCCGGCUCGGAGUCAGAAUUCUCCGGGAAGUUUUCUGCAAACUCAUCAUCCAAUGGAAUUUAAUGAUUCUCUUCUGGUUCUGCAUCGAUCCAUCCAUCAUUUCCUUGGUUGGGAAAGUACAGGUCGCUGGGGAUGUUGAAUCCAGCCAUAUGAUCUACGCGAGAAUAAGGAUAAAAGAGAUAGUUAAUAGACGUACUACUUAAGAUAGUUAAUAAACGUACUACUUAAGAUAGUUAUAGGGUGAUCCUUACUAGUACUUCAAUACUUGCGUAGUGCAUACCAGUCAUAUGUAACCAAAAAAGUAUAGACCUUCGAAUAAGUGACCCUAACUCUAAAUCCACAACCAAACAAGGAACAGGAAGUAAAGAAAAUAUCACAGAUUCUAAGUCUGUGACACCUUCGUCACAUAUAACCUUUGUGUAUUGACUCUGAAAUUAUUGACCUAGUAAUAAAGACCUUUUAGUUCUCAAAUAAGUAAAUUUAGUAACACAAAAUACUCCUAUAGUAUUUUAAGUUUAUGUUAUGUUCUAAAGUUUUCAGUGUAGUAAUGUUGGUAAGUUUUUAGACUUGCUGCAACACCACAACCAUUCCUAGGCACAUGCUAAUCACUUCUCAGAAAGAUAUAGUUGAUCAGGCUAUAUCACUCCCAGAUCUGACUAUAUGUCCCCAAGCCUGUUUGUGUUGUCCAACAAUCGCAAUACUUUUGUUUUGUCCUAGUAUGACACUGAUUUUAGUAUGAAUGCAUGUAUGUAUACUUUGGUUAAAAUUUUAUUAUUUAAAAGUAUAAACUCUUGGUCAGAGUAUUUUAAUCCCAAUGUGUUUAUAGUUGUACAUCUUUUCACGGGUUGAUAUACUCAAUUCGCUAUAAACAAAGCUCUGAUACCAAUUUAUCACACCCCUAAACCGGAACAGCUGAAACGUUCGAGGGCGGAGGACGUCAUGUUCAGUAUCAUAACAAUGCACAAUAGUAAAACACGCAACAACAUCAUCCAUUGCAUUAAUAAUACAGUUACUACAAAUUUGUUCUGAAUGUAUUUGUAAGACACCAAAAAUAUGAAUAUCAAAAAUAAAAGACGAGUCUUGAACACGCUCCGUCUUCUCAAAACCUGGUCCAGUGUACCUAUCUACUGGUGACCUAAGAAUACAAGUUAUUUUGAAAGAGUAGAUCAACAUUUAAGCCGAUGAGUUCGUAUGUAUUUUAGUAUCAAAUGUUUGCAUUAGUUUGAUGAAAAUGUUUGUAAGUGUUUUGAUGUAAAUUUUUGUAUACUUCCAAGAAAAUCCUAUAUUUCCUACUAAAUGUAGUCUUCUACCAAGACCCAACUGUUUUGUAUGUUUGUUUCUCUUCAAAAAUGAUGUAAGAUGUGUAUUUGUACUUGUAAUAGUAUAAAUGUGGGUUUUCCAUAUUUGUAAAACUAUCUUUAUACGAAAAAUAGUAUGCAUUUCUUAUGUGAGUAAAUCAAUGUAUGAAUGUAAUGGAAAAAUGAAAGUGUACAUUAAAGUUGUUUAAAGUAACUACUAAAGCACUAGUUACCUUAAAACUAAUGUGUUUAUUAAGGUUAAAAUGUGAUGUGGUUAUCACCAUACUGAUUGACGACUAUUUAACAUGACAACCUGCUCGCGUCGAAACUGAAUAUCUGACAUUUGUCACCCCUUGGCGUGUAUGCCGGACUGUAGCUAACAGUUGGGAUGUGGGAUUGUCUGUCCCGUAUAGAUCUAUACACAAUGCAUGCUCUCCCUCUAGAAGCCUCUAGUUACAAAACGUGAGACAACUGUAUAUUUCCAUGCCAUGAAGUAAUAUUUCACAUUAUUGUUAUCUGUCUUUGUAAAAGGAUGUAUGUUCCUUUCUGUCCUUGUUAUUGUAUGUUUGAACUGACUCAUGUAUGAACGGAUUCAUGUAUGAACUGACUCUUGUAAGUUUCAUUGUUCUAGAAAUAGUAAGUAGUAACCCUCUAAACUAUACCUAUUAUAGUUUACUAGUAAUGUUGUUUGAAUGACUGAGUAUGUUUGUACACUUUUGC